CUUUAAAAGUGUUAUGUCUUAACACUUUCAUAGCUAUUUGAAAAAGUAUAAACUUAAAGGAAAAACACUUGUAUUUCAUACUUAAAUAAUGCUAAUUACCUACUAACGGGAUGUGGCACCUGUUGGGCACUGCACAACUUCUCAAACCUCGGGCACUGCCAUCUUCGCUUUCUGUUCCACGUCAGAUUUUUGUGUACAACUUGCCUCUUAUCACAGCAACCACAGAAAACCCACUUUCAUGAAGAAAUGGCCCCAUUGAAAGGAAAUCGUGAGAUCUAAUGUUAAAACUGUAAACUUCCUUGAGUUGGGAAUUUGCUUGGUGUCUGGCAGGACACAUCCUCAGAUUAUGCUCUAUCUAUAACGAGGCAUUUCUAGGAAAAAUCAGGAGGCUGGACUUUCCUGGGAAUGUUAAAGACAUAUUGUGCUGGAUAGAAGACACUUUGAAGUGCAGCUCUGUGGCUAGAAGAAACUUUUCAUCCUCCGCCAAAGCUCUGUAGUGUCUCUUCAUAUUGUUCACUUCAGUCAGAAUAAAACUCUUUCUGAUAAU
Molecule: long non-coding RNA, 547 nt
Organism: Zalophus californianus (California sea lion)
Lineage: Eukaryota; Metazoa; Chordata; Mammalia; Carnivora; Otariidae
Exons: 3
Source: RefSeq, a predicted model, not a curated record